UCCUCCCUCAAACCUCGCGUUUGGUGUUGGGCCGGGUUGGUCCCUCAGCGACCAACUGGCCUCAAAGACAAUGACGGCGUCCGUGGGACCCUCGGUGCAACGAGCUUCUUCGUGAGCACGCGCCGAGUUGCAAGGACCCUCCGGGCCGGUCUGACCUGUCACUACUUCUCA
RNAcentral lists this unclassified non-coding RNA (171 nucleotides) under uncultured Phialocephala. RNAcentral's name for it is "sequence contains ITS2". Lineage: Eukaryota; Fungi; Ascomycota; Leotiomycetes; Helotiales. The record is from RNAcentral.